RNAcentral lists this ribosomal RNA (414 nucleotides) under uncultured microorganism. Its description in RNAcentral is "bacterial SSU rRNA". It matches the Rfam family "Archaeal small subunit ribosomal RNA", at positions 459 to 872 of the family's 1478-position model. The record is from RNAcentral.
CAGCAGCCGCGGUAAUACCGGCGGCCCGAGUGGCGGUCACUAUUAUUGGGCUUAAAGCGUCCGUAGCCGGGUUGGGAAGUCCUCCGGGAAAUCUGGCCGCUUAAAGGUCAGAAUGCCGGAGGAUACUCCCAGCCUAGGGAGCGGGGGAGGCCGAGGGUAUUCCCGGAGUAGGGGUGAAAUCCUAUAAUCCCGGGAGGACCACCUGUGGCGAAGGCGCUCGGCUGGAACGCGUCCGACGGUGAGGGACGAAGGCCAGGGGAGCAAACCGGAUUAGAUACCCGGGUAGUCCUGGCUGUAAACGAUGCGGACUUUGUGUCGGACAAGCUAUGAGCUUGUCCGGUGCCGGAGGGAAACCGUUAAGUCCGCCGCCUGGGGAGUACGGCCGCAAGGCUGAAACUUAAAGGAAUUGGCGGG